Molecule: ribosomal RNA, 759 nt
Filed under: uncultured Planctomycetaceae bacterium
Lineage: Bacteria; Pseudomonadati; Planctomycetota; Planctomycetia; Planctomycetales; Planctomycetaceae
Description: bacterial SSU rRNA
Rfam family: Bacterial small subunit ribosomal RNA
Source: RNAcentral
AGAGUUUGAUCAUGGCUCAGCCUGAACGCUGGCGGCGUGGCUAAGACAUGCAAGUCGUACGGCGCAGCAAUGCGCAGUGGCGAACGGGUGAGUAAUGAAUCGCUAACGUGCCCCGGACUCUGGGAUAGCCGGCCGAAAGGCCGGGUAAUACCAGACGACGUAACCGCCCCGCAUGGGGCGGUUCCCAAAGGUCCGCCGGUCUGGGAGCGGGCGAUUUCGUAUCAGCUAGUUGGUGGGGUAACGGCCCACCAAGGCGACGACGCGUAGCCGGACUGAGAGGUUGGCCGGCCACAUUGGGACUGAGACACUGCCCAGACUCCUACGGGGGGCUGCAGUAACGGAUCUUCCGCAAUGCACGCAAGUGUGACGGAGCGACGCCGCGUGUGGGACGAAGUCCUUCGGGAUGUAAACCACUGUCAGGGGUAAGAAAGUUCUGAUCUACCCCAGAGGAAGGCACGGCUAACUCUGUGCCAGCAGCCGCGGUAAGACAGAGGUGCCGAGCGUUAGGCGGAAUCACUGGGCUUAAAGCGUGUGUAGGCGGACGAUUAAGUACCUUGUGAAAUCCCACGGCUCAACCGUGGAACUGCUCGGUAUACUGGUCGUCUUGAGCCACUUAGGGGCAGUCGGAACAGGCGGUGGAGCGGUGAAAUGCGUAGAUAUCGCCUGGAACGCCAACGGUGAAAACAGACUGCUGGGAGUGCGCUGACGCUGAGACACGAAAGCUAGGGGAGCGAACGGGAUUAGAUACCCCAGUAGUCC